RNAcentral lists this ribosomal RNA (59 nucleotides) under Lophodermium pinastri. RNAcentral's name for it is "partial 28S ribosomal RNA". The record is from RNAcentral. Lineage: Eukaryota; Fungi; Ascomycota; Leotiomycetes; Rhytismatales; Rhytismataceae. RNAcentral also lists the same sequence under 1 other name.
GGUUGACCUCGGAUCAGGUAGGAUACCCGCUGAACUUAAGCAUAUCAAUAAGCGGAGGA